RNAcentral lists this ribosomal RNA (490 nucleotides) under uncultured bacterium. RNAcentral's name for it is "partial 16S ribosomal RNA". It matches the Rfam family "Bacterial small subunit ribosomal RNA", at positions 30 to 507 of the family's 1533-position model. The record is from RNAcentral.
AUUGAACGCUGGCGGCAGGCCUAACACAUGCAAGUCGAACGGUAACAGAAAGCAGCUUGCUGCUUUGCUGACGAGUGGCGGACGGGUGAGUAAUGUCUGGGAAACUGCCUGAUGGAGGGGGAUAACUACUGGAAACGGUAGCUAAUACCGCAUAACGUCGCAAGACCAAAGAGGGGGACCUUCGGGCCUCUUGCCAUCGGAUGUGCCCAGAUGGGAUUAGCUUGUUGGUGGGGUAACGGCUCACCAAGGCGACGAUCCCUAGCUGGUCUGAGAGGAUGACCAGCCACACUGGAACUGAGACACGGUCCAGAAUCCUACGGGAGGCAGCAGUGGGGAAUAUUGCACAAUGGGCGCAAGCCUGAUGCAGCCAUGCCGCGUGUAUGAAGAAGGCCUUCGGGUUGUAAAGUACUUUCAGCGGGGAGGAAGGGAGUAAAGUUAAUACCUUUGCUCAUUGACGUUACCCGCAGAAGAAGCACCGGCUAACUCCGUG